RNAcentral lists this ribosomal RNA (497 nucleotides) under uncultured bacterium. Its description in RNAcentral is "partial 16S ribosomal RNA". It matches the Rfam family "Bacterial small subunit ribosomal RNA", at positions 28 to 507 of the family's 1533-position model. The record is from RNAcentral.
GAUGAACGCUGGCGGCGUGCCUAAUACAUGCAAGUCGAGCGAACGGACGAGAAGCUUGCUUCUCUGAUGUUAGCGGCGGACGGGUGAGUAACACGUGGAUAACCUACCUAUAAGACUGGGAUAACUUCGGGAAACCGGAGCUAAUACCGGAUAAUAUUUUGAACCGCAUGGCUCAAAAGUGAAAGACGGUCUUGCUGUCACUUAUAGAUGGAUCCGCGCUGCAUUAGCUAGUUGGUAAGGUAACGGCUUACCAAGGCAACGAUGCAUAGCCGACCUGAGAGGUUGAACGGCCACACUGGAACUGAGACACGGUCCAGACUCCUACGGGAGGCAGCAGUAGGGAAUCUUCCGCAAUGGGGGAAAGCCUGACGGAGCAACGCCGCGUGAGUGAUGAAGGUCUUCGGAUCGUAAAACUCUGUUAUUAGGGAAGAACAUAUGUGUAAGUAACUGUGCACAUCUUGACGGUACCUAAUCAGAAAGCCACGGCUAACUACGUG